GGGUCCGUAGUGUAGCUUGGAUAACACACGGGGCUUCGGACCCCGUACCCCGGGUUCAAAUCCCGGCGGACCCG
This 74-nucleotide transfer RNA is filed under the name Thermoplasmata archaeon. RNAcentral's name for it is "tRNA-Arg". It matches the Rfam family "tRNA". Rfam says of the family: Transfer RNA (tRNA) molecules are approximately 80 nucleotides in length. Their secondary structure includes four short double-helical elements and three loops (D, anti-codon, and T loops). Further hydrogen bonds mediate the characteristic L-shaped molecular structure. tRNAs have two regions of fundamental functional importance: the anti-codon, which is responsible for specific mRNA codon recognition, and the 3' end, to which the tRNAs corresponding amino acid is attached (by aminoacyl-tRNA synthetases). tRNAs cope with the degeneracy of the genetic code in two manners: having more than one tRNA (with a specific anti-codon) for a particular amino acid; and 'wobble' base-pairing, i.e. permitting non-standard base-pairing at the 3rd anti-codon position. Lineage: Archaea; Methanobacteriati; Thermoplasmatota; Thermoplasmata. The record is from RNAcentral.